Molecule: microRNA precursor, 95 nt
Organism: Cavia porcellus (domestic guinea pig)
Lineage: Eukaryota; Metazoa; Chordata; Mammalia; Rodentia; Caviidae
Rfam family: mir-340 microRNA precursor family
Source: Rfam
UUGUACCUGGUGUGAUUAUAAAGCAAUGAGACUGAUUGUCAUUUGUCUUUUGUGGGAUCCGUCUCAGUUACUUUAUAGCCAGACCUGGUAUCUUA